This is a microRNA precursor of Gorilla gorilla gorilla (western lowland gorilla), 59 nucleotides long. Lineage: Eukaryota; Metazoa; Chordata; Mammalia; Primates; Hominidae. The record is from Ensembl.
GCUGCUCUGCUGUUCCUCUGUCUCCCAGACUCUGGGUGGAUGGAGCAGGUUGGGGGCCA